CCUUUAUAUUGACUCUGCUGACUUUAGUAAUGUGAAUUAAAUAGAUUCAGCUAUCCUUAGAUAUAAGAUUCGAAAGUACCGGUCACUA
This 88-nucleotide ribosomal RNA is filed under the name Choleoeimeria sp. JRB-2016. RNAcentral's name for it is "large subunit ribosomal RNA". The record is from RNAcentral. Lineage: Eukaryota; Apicomplexa; Conoidasida; Eucoccidiorida; Eimeriidae.